CGUGUUUAUCAAAACUGAAACUUCCUAACUUCCCCCACUCGAUUCUUCUGAGUUUCUUUUUCUUAACACAGCCAUUAAACUUGAUCAGCGUAUUUAAUCAACUUCAUCACGUAAAUAUCUUUAAUUUUCUCUAAAACCCCAAUGUUUACUGAAACUUGAACCCAUUUCGAUUCCGAUUCCAAUUCCAAUUUCUAAACAAAGAUUUAGCUCGAAAGGGUGAAAAUGGUGGUGGGUUGAUGCCAAAGACGAACAUAGAAAAGAUUUCAUCAUCAUCAUACAUUUCAUCAUCAUCUAGAUCUGGACUAGAAAUCUUUCAUAAGAGAUUGAAGAGGAGUAGUGGAGGAUUGUAUUUGGUUAGAGAUUGAAGAGGAGCAGAGGAGGAUUGUACAAGAGCUAUCGAACUAGACAGCACUCCUUGCAUUACGGAUUGCGUCAUGGCAGAGCUUGUGAAAUUGGGUCAGAAGUACCAAAAACAAGAUAUAUGCAUUAUUGACGAGAGAGCUGCACUGUCAUGGUCCAGGGUCGUCCUCGAGGUGAUAAACUUUUGGUAAUCUGCACUGUAAUGUCAACUUUGUUCAUCUGGCGCGGAUUAGUCAGCUUGUAUUGGUCUCUCUUGGCUGCAUGUGUUGUGACGUGCAGAAGUGGAGCUUGGAUCUUUGAAAGGUCGUCAUCCUUUAAUGGAAGAUGUAAAGAAGAAGGCAGUUGCACUUGGACAUGUUAAUUUUAGUACACCACCAAAUGAUGAAAAUUAUGAAGUCCUUAUAGAUGAGAAUACGGAUAGCAAUAUGGAACUGUAUGUGUUGGAGAUGGAAAACUUGGAUAUAUUGAUCCCAGUGAGACGAUUGAAUGGCCAAAGCAAUACGUAACUCGUGCACUUGGAUGUUAAAUCAUAAUAUUUUUAUUUUUUUAUUGUUUUUUCUUCUUUGUUGUUAUGAACAUGAAGUAGCUUUUGUUGUUGAAUAUAAUUGUUGAGUUGUUAAAUGAAUUAUAAAUUAUUUUUAAUAGAAUGGGUUACGUUUGCCUACAAAA
This is a long non-coding RNA of Papaver somniferum (opium poppy), 1029 nucleotides long. RefSeq lists it as uncharacterized. Lineage: Eukaryota; Viridiplantae; Streptophyta; Magnoliopsida; Ranunculales; Papaveraceae. The transcript has 5 exons. The record is from RefSeq and is a predicted model, not a curated record.